AGACCCGAAACCCGGUGAUCUAGCCAUGGGCAGGUUGAAGGUUGGGUAACACUAACUGGAGGACCGAACCGACUAAUGUUGAAAAAUUAGCGGAUGACCUGUGGCUGGGGGUGAAAGGCCAAUCAAACCGGGAGAUAGCUGGUUCUCCCCGAAAGCUAUUUAGGUAGCGCCUCGUGAAUUCAUCUCCGGGGGUAGAGCACUGUUUCGGCUAGGGGGCCAUCCCGGCUUACCAACCCGAUGCAAACUGCGAAUACCGGAGAAUGUUAUCACGGGAGACACACGGCGGGUGCUAACGUCCGUCGUGAAGAGGGAAACAACCCAGACCGCCAGCUAAGGUCCCAAAGUCAUGGUUAAGUGGGAAACGAUGUGGGAAGGCCCAGACAGCCAGGAUGUUGGCUUAGAAGCAGCCAUCAUUUAAAGAAAGCGUAAUAGCUCACUGGUCGAGUCGGCCUGCGCGGAAGAUGUAACGGGGCUAAACCAUGCACCGAAGCUGCGGCAGCGACACUGUGUGUUGUUGGGUAGGGGAGCGUUCUGUAAGCCUGUGAAGGUGUGUCGUGAGGCAUGCUGGAGGUAUCAGAAGUGCGAAUGCUGACAUAAGUAACGAUAAAGCGGGUGAAAAGCCCGCUCGCCGGAAGACCAAGGGUUCCUGUCCAACGUUAAUCGGGGCAGGGUGAGUCGACCCCUAAGGCGAGGCCGAAAGGCGUAGUCGAUGGGAAACGGGUUAAUAUUCCCGUACUUGGUGUUACUGCGAAGGGGGGACGGAGAAGGCUAUGUUGGCCGGGCGACGGUUGUCCCGGUUUAAGCGUGUAGGUGUGUGUUCCAGGUAAAUCCGGUUCACUUUAACACUGAGGCGUGACGACGAGGCACUACGGUGCUGAAGCAACAAAUGCCCUGCUUCCAGGAAAAGCCUCUAAGCAUCAGGUAACAUCAAAUCGUACCCCAAACCGACACAGGUGGUCAGGUAGAGAAUACCAAGGCGCUUGAGAGAACUCGGGUGAAGGAACUAGGCAAAAUGGUGCCGUAACUUCGGGAGAAGGCACGCUGACACGUAGGUGAAGUGAUUUACUCAUGGAGCUGAAGUCAGUCGAAGAUACCAGCUGGCUGCAACUGUUUAUUAAAAACACAGCACUGUGCAAACACGAAAGUGGACGUAUACGGUGUGACGCCUGCCCGGUGCCGGAAGGUUAAUUGAUGGGGUCAGCGCAAGCGAAGCUCCUGAUCGAAGCCCCGGUAAACGGCGGCCGUAACUAUAACGGUCCUAAGGUAGCGAAAUUCCUUGUCGGGUAAGUUCCGACCUGCACGAAUGGCGUAAUGAUGGCCAGGCUGUCUCCACCCGAGACUCAGUGAAAUUGAACUCGCUGUGAAGAUGCAGUGUACCCGCGGCAAGACGGAAAGACCCCGUGAACCUUUACUAUAGCUUGACACUGAACAUUGAGCCUUGAUGUGUAGGAUAGGUGGGAGGCUUUGAAGUGUGGACGCCAGUCUGCAUGGAGCCGACCUUGAAAUACCACCCUUUAAUGUUUGAUGUUCUAACGUGGACCCGUUACCCGGGUUGCGGACAGUGUCUGGUGGGUAGUUUGACUGGGGCGGUCUCCUCCUAAAGAGUAACGGAGGAGCACGAAGGUUGGCUAAUCCUGGUCGGACAUCAGGAGGUUAGUGCAAUGGCAUAAGCCAGCUUGACUGCGAGCGUGACGGCGCGAGCAGGUGCGAAAGCAGGUCAUAGUGAUCCGGUGGUUCUGAAUGGAAGGGCCAUCGCUCA
Molecule: ribosomal RNA, 1759 nt
Filed under: Salmonella enterica subsp. enterica serovar Enteritidis
Lineage: Bacteria; Pseudomonadati; Pseudomonadota; Gammaproteobacteria; Enterobacterales; Enterobacteriaceae
Description: partial 23S ribosomal RNA
Rfam family: Bacterial large subunit ribosomal RNA
Source: RNAcentral